CACUCAUUAGUGAGAUACCACUGACUUAUACG
RNAcentral lists this ribosomal RNA (32 nucleotides) under Steinernema sp. CS5. Its description in RNAcentral is "partial 28S ribosomal RNA". The record is from RNAcentral. Lineage: Eukaryota; Metazoa; Nematoda; Chromadorea; Rhabditida; Steinernematidae.